Molecule: ribosomal RNA, 468 nt
Filed under: uncultured bacterium
Lineage: Bacteria
Description: partial 16S ribosomal RNA
Rfam family: Bacterial small subunit ribosomal RNA
Source: RNAcentral
GACGAACGCUGGCGGCGUGCUUAACACAUGCAAGUCGAACGGAAAGGCCCUGCUUUUGUGGGGUGCUCGAGUGGCGAACGGGUGAGUAACACGUGUGUAACCUUCCCUUGACUUUGGGAUAACUUCAGGAACCUGGGGCUAAUACCGGAUAGGAUCUCCUGCUGCAUGGUGGGGGUUGGUAUGUUUCGGCGUUUGGGGAUGGACUCGCUGCUUAUCAGCUUGUUGGUGGGGUAGUGGCUUACCAAGGCUUUGACGGGUAGCCGGCCUGAGAGGGUGACCGGCGACAUGGGGACUGAGAUACGGCACAGAGUGAUACGGGAGGCAGCAGUGGGGAAUAUAGCAGAAUGGGCGGAAGCAAGAUGAAGAAACGCCGCGUGCGGGAUGAAGGCAAUCGGGUAGUAAACCGCAUUAGAAUGUGAAGAAGAGUGAGUGACGGUAAUGGGUAAAGAAGCACCGGCUAACUACGUG